CCUACGGGAGGCAGCAGUGAGGAAUAUUGGUCAAUGGGCGCGAGCCUGAACCAGCCAAGUCGCGUGAAGGAUGACUGCCCUACGGGUUGUAAACUUCUUUUAUCAAGGAAUACAGUGAGGCACGUGUGCCUUUUUGUAUGUACUUUAUCAAUAAGGAUCGGCUAACUCCGUGCCAGCAGCCGCGGUAAUACGGAGGGUCCGAGCGUUAUCCGGAUUUAUUGGGUUUAAAGGGAGCGUAGAUGGGUUGUUAAGUCAGUUGUGAAAGUUUGCGGCGCAACCGUAAAAUUGCAAUUGAUACUGGCAGCCUUGAGUACAGUUGAGGGAGGCGGAAUUCGUGGUGUAGCGGUGAAAUGCUGAGAGAUCACGAAGAACUCCGAUUGCGAAGGCAGCUUACUAAACUGCCACUGACAUUGAUGCUCGAAAGUGUGGGUAUCAAACAGGAUUAGAUACCCCGGUAGUC
Molecule: ribosomal RNA, 460 nt
Filed under: uncultured bacterium
Lineage: Bacteria
Description: partial 16S ribosomal RNA
Rfam family: Bacterial small subunit ribosomal RNA
Source: RNAcentral